Molecule: long non-coding RNA, 374 nt
Filed under: Nicotiana benthamiana
Lineage: Eukaryota; Viridiplantae; Streptophyta; Magnoliopsida; Solanales; Solanaceae
Description: long non-coding RNA (NBEN_LNC032001)
Source: RNAcentral
GUAAAAAUGGCCAGUAUUUCAGGUACCAUGGUUAGCACCUCUUUCCUCCCAAGGAAACCAGUAGUGACUAGCCUGAAAGCCAUACCAAAUGUUGGGCAAGCUCUCUUUGGUCUUAAAUCUCAGAGGGGUGGUAGGAUUACUUGCAUGGCCAGUUACAAAGUGAAGCUUAUUACACCAGAAGGAGCUGUUGAAUUUGAUUGUCCAGAUGAUGUUUACAUUCUUGAUCAAGCUGAGGAAAUGGGACAUGAUCUUCCUUACUCAUGCAGAGCUGGUUCUUGCUCUUCUUGUGCUGGAAAAGUUACAGCUGGAAAUGUUGAUCAGUCUGAUGGAAACUUUCUUGAUGAUGACCAAAUGGCUGAUGGAUUUGUGCUAAC